This 124-nucleotide small RNA is filed under the name Klebsiella pneumoniae. Its description in RNAcentral is "partial RtT sRNA". It matches the Rfam family "RtT RNA", at positions 15 to 130 of the family's 130-position model. From Rfam's summary of the family: This family represents a bacterial cis-regulatory element known as RtT RNA. The exact function of RtT is unknown although it is thought that it may be involved in changing the cellular response in relation to amino acid starvation. The record is from RNAcentral. Lineage: Bacteria; Pseudomonadati; Pseudomonadota; Gammaproteobacteria; Enterobacterales; Enterobacteriaceae.
GGCCAGUGAGGAUGAGAACCUCCGGGGGCAGGAGGUUCGACUCGAGCGAAGCGAGAGAACGUUUCGUCAGCAACGGCCCGCAGGGCGAGCCACGAAGUGGUGAGUCAUCCUCUAUCACCGACCA